Long non-coding RNA from Canis lupus familiaris (dog), 3976 nucleotides. RefSeq lists it as uncharacterized. The transcript is spliced from 2 exons. Lineage: Eukaryota; Metazoa; Chordata; Mammalia; Carnivora; Canidae. The record is from RefSeq and is a predicted model, not a curated record.
GCAGAAUGGACCUUGUGGGUGGCAGCUGGGAUCCGCAGGGGGUGGGAAGGGGACUGACGAGCGCCCGGGGCCCGGGUUCUGGCCUGGCUUUGUCACAGGACAAAGGCAGCCCUCUGAGGAGGCCUUAGACGCCUCUGCGCCUGGAUUCCCACGUUGGCAGUGUCGCCGCUGCCCCACCCAGGGCAGCCUCAGCACAGUUUGGAGGCUUGCUUGUGGGUACUUUUUUAACUUCUCAACACUCUGAAUUCCUUUUUAAUUAACAUUGUUAGAUUUUUUAAUUAAUUUCCAAAGGAGUAUUGUCUUUCAGCUUUGAAAGCUUUAAAAUAGUUCAUUUAAGAUGUACAAAUGACAUCGAUGAAAAACAUCCUUGUAGCCCUGUAUGUGCCCUUCCAGGGCCCGAGGGACGCCUGCCUCGGCCUCUCUGGCGCCGUCCGCCCCGUCAUGGGGGUGGCAGUGGCCCCUCCUGGGCUCGGGCUUUGUGUGCGUGCGCUUCCUGCGCCCACGAAGUCCUUUGAGCAGCAGGCCGGGCAGGCAGCGUGAGCACAGGUGCUUGGCCCGGCGUGUCCGCUGCCAGCCCGAGGCCUGGGCCACCGCGCUGCUCGUUGGCUGUGCCAGCCGCCCAGCCUCCGCCGUCACACGCCUCCUCCCCGGGUUUCUCCCUCUGUCCACACUUGUCCCCGUUUCUCCUUUGCUCGGUCUCCCUUCCGGGACAGUUUCCUUCCGGAACAAGCCCUCCUGGAUGCAGAACCAGCCCUCCUGGAUGCGGACCUCAGCAGACCCCACCCAGCCCCCUGUUGACUCCGAUCCCCGUGGCAGCUGCAGUGACCCCGUCUCCAAAUAAUGUCACUCUGAGGUGUACUGGCACUUAGGCUUCAACUUAGGUAUUUGGGGCAGGACACGGUCUGACCCAUACAGUAUGCACAAGACUACUGCUCUCUCUCUCUCUCUCUUUGUUUUUAAGAUUUUAUUGAUUUAUUCGUGAGAGAGGCAGAGACACAGGCAGAGGGAGAAGCGGGCUCACUGCGGGGAGCCCGAUGCGGGACUCGAUCCCAGGCUCUGACCUUUGAACAAGCUAUUGCCCCACUGGAGCCUCUUCUCCUCUGCCAAAAAAAAAGAAAAAAGUUAGCUUGGGCAAGAGUAAUGGAGUACACGGGACUCGUGGCACGUUACAAGCACACACCUCUGCCGCCCGCAUAUGUGUCCCUGGGGGGCCCCAGCGAGCGAUUUUCAUGGGAAGCGCACAGUCUUUCUGCACAUCUAGUAGAUCAUUGGGAUCGGCCGUUGCCAGAUAUGGUGUGAGAGUGGUGAAAUGUGUCCGACCUCAGCCCGUGAGUCUGGGGAGUACGUCGCGCGGCUCUGGUACCUCCCUCACCGGGAAGUCGGGGAGCUCGCCACCUGCAGCACGGAUGCGGCCCUGCGGCCAGCUGACAGGCACCCAGAGCUGCUUGCUCCCCUGUGGACUUCCAGCCUUGAAUUCGAGGCUCCUUUCUUUUAAAACCCCUCUGCACAGAGAUAGGAUGAAGGCAAAAUACAGUCAAAAUGUUUGAAGAAAUCACAGGCUGAGGUUCAGGAUGAAUAAAUGAUGUGAAAACUUUGUGCGUGGCUUGGGGAGAGGGCUCCGGGCGGGCUGGUCCCCAGGGCCCGGGCGAUGGGGCCGGAGCACCGCUGGCCUCUUUGAAUAAACAGCCAGCAUCGCUGCCCCAGAAAGGCCGCACUUCCUUUUCUCGGGUUUGUUUACAUCUGGCUCCUGUUUGUUGCUAAAGCUUCUGUAACCAGACAACUGAGGAGGGGCGUCGGGGGACAGGAGGACAGAGUUUCACCUCUGAGCAUCUUGCAUCCCUGAACUUCUGUUUGUGGGAAUCCUUGCAUAGGGCCCCACCUGUCGCGGACAGACGGACCUUGUCAAGGAAGCUCUGCUUGAGCUUCCAGCUAAGGACUGUGUGAGCCCUGGACUGGACCGGAGGCCCCCACGAGGACGUGGUCACAAGCAGGCAGAGAAGAAAUACCAGGUGAUCCAUUCCUCAACGCCUCCCAAUCUGGCUUUCUCUACCAGAAGGUUCUCUGCUGCCAGGUGUUGUAUAGCAGGCCCCACCCUUAUGCCCUGUGUGGAAGAGGGGGCUGUGGAGCAGGGAGGGAGGACGUGGGCAGGGGAUGGCCUCGAGUGAGGAAGAUGCUGUUUCUCUGGUCCGUGCGCUCUUUGAAGCCUCUCCGACCAGGGCCAGCCCCACCAGGUCCCAGCUCACCGUCCCAUGUGCAGGGACAGCAGGUUCCUGGACCCCUACCCAGGGGUUGCUGGUCCUGGCCAGCUGAGCUGGAGGCGAGCCUGCCUUCUGCGCGCUGAGCCAGCAGGUGCCGUUCCCGGCCGUCCUGUCCCAGCACCUUCUGUCUUCAUCCCGUCCCCGUGUCCUGUGCGUCGGUGAGGAUGCUGCAUCCCCAGAGGAGGGUUUCUGUCCUCGAGAGAGCGGGGAGGCAGUGCGUUGAAGAUGACCCGCUGCUGGGGGGACAAUCCAGGUCGCCUGUCUUCAGACCUGGGAGAGAAGCUCAGAAACGGGCCGGCUUCAUUCCUCCGCUCGCAGGCUGCAGAAUUGAGGUCAUCGCGGUUCGGGUCCGGCCUUCACCGGAAGCGAAGAGGCAGGUUCCACGCCCAGAGGUGCAUCCUGCCACCUGCCGGGAAGGGGCGAUUCUCUCGUUGCCGUCGUUGGGUGAGGCGGGCGCCGGGCGUCCGAGCCUGGGCAGGUGCCGUCGGUCAGGUGGGCAGCGCUGGGGGCACAGCGGGAACGGGCCGGGGUGCCCGGGCUGCCUCGGGCCCUGAGGGGUAGGGCUUCGUCGUCGGUCCCCGCCGCUGCCGGGCCGUUGGUGGAGAAGCAGGUGGUGGCGGGCGCUCCCCGACCCAGGGCCGGGAGGAGCCGGGAGAAGCCCGGGGCAUGGGUUCCAGGCCGCGGGGGCCUCUGCGAGCAGCUCCUGCAGGUGCUGCCGAACCGGGAGUGCUUUGCCCCGCUGGCGCGGAAUGUGGUUGGAGGCGGACGCCCCUUCCCACGCUGUAUGAAAAGUGGGGAAAUCACUGAGCCCCUGCAGCCGCAGCGUUUCCUCCCGGGCUUCAUCGCAAACUCGGGACUGUGAAGGAGCGGUUUCCUCCCAGAUCCGACCGCGGAGGGGUUCGGUGGACGCUGGCGUUGCUGGAGCGAGGGGACCCCCUUACCCCGGGGGGAGCCGCCUGGGCUGGCCCGGGCCCUGGGGAAAGAGCCGAAAUGCCUGGGUUUGGCAGGUUUGUGCCGAAGGUGAGAAUCUGUGGUAUCACGUGCUGUCCGCAAGGCUAGCUCCGUGGCUCAGGAGCGGAGACGGCCAGGGCCCCGCUUGCCUCCAGAGAGCAGAGGCGCGCCGGGCGUCUGGAGCCAGAUCUCCCACGAUCGUUAGGUGGUGCCCAGACUGGUUCCGUGGUCCCAGGCGGCAGUCCCGGAGAAGGCACAUCUUCCCCUUCCUCGUGCGACGGGACUCGUUCUCCACCUCUCCCUCCCCCGUCACGUGUUGCAUCUGUUUUUCAGUGAAGGUGUAAUUUCCGUGCAGCAAAACUCACCCUUGGAAGACUACAGGCUUAGAGCUUUUGCCAAAUGCAUAUCCAGUCCCGUAACCACCAGUGCCAUCGAGACAGGAGAAAAGCCCAUCACCCCAAAGAGUCCCGGGCUGGGGAGAGAGACCUGUUGCCUGUCCAUGUACUUCUGCCCUCGCAGAGCUUGGUGGCUGUGGCCUGGGACAGCGUGCAGCCCUCGGAGCCUGGCUGCUUUCGCUCAGCACCGUGCCUCUGAGGUCCAUUUGUGCUAUUGGAUGCGUCGGUCGCUGGUUCUUUGUUGCUAACUAAUAUUCCAUUUUAAGAAUGAGUAGCCAUUGGCUUGGGCAUUCUCCCGUUGAGGAGCAUUUGAGUUGUUCCCAGGUUUUGAUGAUGACAACUGCAGCUACUGAGAAAUGUCUGCGUACGGUG